RNAcentral lists this non-coding RNA (45 nucleotides) under Echinostoma caproni. Lineage: Eukaryota; Metazoa; Platyhelminthes; Trematoda; Plagiorchiida; Echinostomatidae. The record is from RNAcentral.
GCACUGCUGACGAGUCCCGAACAGGACGAAACAGCUGUCGAGUGC